This is a long non-coding RNA of Medicago truncatula (barrel medic), 1671 nucleotides long. RefSeq lists it as uncharacterized. NCBI's taxonomy places the organism in Eukaryota, Viridiplantae, Streptophyta, Magnoliopsida, Fabales, Fabaceae. The record is from RefSeq and is a predicted model, not a curated record. The transcript is spliced from 5 exons.
CAGUUGAAAAAAAAAAAAAAAGGGUUGAGGGUUGAGUCUGUCAGACAACCGUGUGACCAUCUCGGUCAGUUGAACUAGGCCGAGAACGAUCAUCUACAGCUGUAGAUGAUGCACACAUCAUCCUAGCCGUUAAUCACGCUCUGAUCACACAGUCAUGAUUCAUCCACCAGACGUAUGUUCCUGUCUCCUUUGAAAUCAAGGACACAGUAGUACGAUCCUAUAGAACAGAUCCUGUUCAAGUAAGGUCGUGCUUAAAUAAGCUGAGUUUCAGGUAUAUAAACAAUUAAAAGUUUUUGUUAUUAAGCGAUGUGGGACUAAAUUUGUGGUUUUUGUUCUAACUCUUGUUUUAUGGGAUUUAUUUUAUAUACAAUGCUUUCAAGAUUCUGUAACAAAACAAAAGCAGUUCUGGUCGUGCUACCGUUUCAAGAAGCUUGGGCCUAUUUUCAGCUUUUCAUGAUUGAUAAGAUUUUAUAACUAACAUUAAUGAAUAUCUUUCCUUUCCAGUGCUGUUUAGUGGUAGUUAGCAGUGGCUAAUACUUUAGUGCAUGUUUGAAUUGACACUGAACUAGGUGAAAUCACCGCGAGCCACCAUGAUUUUGGAAAAAGGUGCAGCAUCAACGAAAUCACGGUGCCACCGUGAUUUCGUCAAAUACACCAUGAUACUGUCCAAAAGAUUGUUUUUGAUACAACAGUGCAUGCAUAACCAGUUGACCAGCAUCAGUACACUAAGAUAAAGUCACAUUGUCUUCAUUCUGUUGGAAGGGGCUUUGCUUUAUCCUAUUUAUGGUGAAGGAGAACCAACACAAGCUUUCUGCCGUCAUACUGCUGUCAAAGGUCACAUUUAUAUAAAAGGUAAACCAUACCACCACUUAUAAAGGGGUACCAUUUUCACCAUCCAUCAAUUACAGCGACAGCCUUAUAGACAUUGGAGUCUCUCCUUUCAAUGGCUUCACCUAUGAUCAUAUAUGCGGAACAAAAGUUGGUGGAACCAUUUUUCGACAGAGUUAAACAUAUACUUACUGUUUUAGUCCAUUCUACUGUCCAAAAGAUUGUUAUGAUACAGCAGAUUGGUCAAAGUCAUGAUGUAAGCCAUUUGAUCUUCAUCAAUGGCUUAGAUAGUCUGACUGCGAAGACAAUAGGAUAUUCUGACUAUUGAGAAUCCAAAUUUUAAAGUUGUGGAAAAAGAGUUCCCUGCAAUUAGUUAUCUCAAUUGUUUAUAUAGAUUGAAUGAUUGAGAUUUCAAGUUUCUGAUUGGUCAAAGUCAUGAUGUGAGUCAUUCGAUAUCUAUCAACAAAAUACAUGAUUUUGAUAACAUUCUGAGGUGCAACACAAAUAGUAAAAAGCAUUCAGAGUUCUACAAUGCCUUGAUAAGUAAGGUUUGGAGUUGAGGUUUAGAACUUUCACAACUGUGACCUUGAUAAGUAAGGUUUGGAGUUGGAGUUAAAACCAUCGUAACAGAUUUGUUUGAUAGCGUGAGGAUUUGGAAACAAAAUACAAAUCUGCAUUUGUGUCAUUUCAAAGCAGCAUUCAUAAUCUCUGUAUGUCCAGUGUUUGAAAAAUGUAUUUGCCAAGUGCAACAAUAUAAAUUAUACAAUGAAGUGUACUAUGUUCUUUAAAAAAGUUAAAUUACCUUCUUAUGCAAUGAAGAGUACUAUCUCGUUUUAUGUUUCA